Molecule: non-coding RNA, 2108 nt
Organism: Musa acuminata subsp. malaccensis (wild Malaysian banana)
Lineage: Eukaryota; Viridiplantae; Streptophyta; Magnoliopsida; Zingiberales; Musaceae
Source: RefSeq, a predicted model, not a curated record
CCCCGUGCGGGCAGUGUAUGAUCGGUGGCGUCGCGCAGUGUCGCCGCGUGACCACCACGAUGCCCCUGGCGCUUCCCUACCCUGGAGGUAAUCUUAAUCUUGGUCGCUGCCUUGCGCCGAUGAAGACUGGAGGCGACGCGAUCACCGGAGUCUUCGUGCCAGAUCCCGUGGCUUCUUUUUUGGUCGGCUAGGCGCACGGUGCCGGAACCCUUCCCAUUGCGGUGAGCAUGUAAGGUCGGUGGCGUUCCGCGUUGUCGCCGCAUUUCCAUCACCAUGCCUCGGUGCGUCCCCUCCCCGCUCCCCUGCCCCAGAGGAACCCUAGCAAUGUCCGUGGACUUCGGUUGCUGGGACAGAGGCGCGCAUGAAAUAGCGCUCGUUCUGCCGUCGCCGGGUACCAGUAUCUCCGUGGGCGAUGGGUUUCCGUUUCACUUUCACAUGUAAAGCUCGGUAUCCGGAAAGGUUGGUCUCGCCUGAACUUAAUUAGUCAUAAUGGGGUUCACAAUGAGGUUUUCACGUGGAAGUGCUUCUGAAUUUUUUAUGAAGUUCACUCUGAGUCAGUUUCUUUUGUGGAGCUUGUCAGUCUUAUAUUUCUAGUUUAUGAUAAAGUAUAUUAGCAAAUCUGCUAGUUAAAUCUUUCUCCUUUUCAUAAACUGUGCUUGCCAGAGUGUUCGGAGUGCAUCAACUUUGGAAAACAUUGACGAACAGAAGUGCAAAUUAAGCAUACUUUUUCGAAAUGAAACUGAGCAACAAAUAGUAUCAACAGAGAGAGAGAGAGAGAGAGUGAGAGCAAACAUGAUUAUGAGCAUCUUGUAGUAUUCACUGCGAGAUAGGACUUGUAUAGGUAUAUUUUGUGCAUCCUCAUGAUUCAAUUAUGCAUCCUAACAUCUAUUCUUGGUUGUUAUUUUUUAAUAUGCAUCCUAACAUCUAUUUAGAGACAGAAUCAUACUGGUUGAAUUGGCACUACGUGAAGGUUGUUGUAUUUAAUAAGCUGCCUAUGCCAGACUACAGAAUCCAAUCUGGAUGGAGAAUCUGGAAAAACUCAGUUUUGUUGCCAUAGUUAUAGUUAUCAUCCUGUUAUGAGGGAAGGAAGGAUGCAGAAAGAGAGCAUUAUGGAUAUAAAUACUGCUGGAAUAAGUUUAUUUUUCCACAGGAAGGCCGAUGGUUCUCUUUAGAGGCAAUUUCCUUUCCUUCUGAUUGUACUACUCUGAUUAAUGAAAGUUCUGGUACAUGCAGCAAGUGCACUCAAAAUGAAAAACCUGUCUUGGCUUGGCUUGCUCCUGGUGUUGUGAGUUUAACCCUUUUAUAUGUUUCUUUAUGAACCAUUCUUUUUUACAUAUUCCGUGUUCUAGUCUCUUCUGGUUAAGGAACUUGUAUUCACAUAUGUUCCAUCCAGAGUGCUAAAAAAAAGUAAAUGUUUUUGGAUCAAUAUUUUGCUCAUUUUACACAUUAUACGGAUCAUGCUUACAUGUUCAUACCUCGAAUUAAGUUUUAUUUGAUGUAUGAAUAUCUCCAUUUUAUGCGAUCCAUUUUGACUUUCUGCCGCUCUCUGAAACAGCUUGUAAAUCCUAGAAUGGACAUUCAGAGUCGGAGAGAGAGCUCCUGUUGGCAAUAUGCAAUCGCCUUUGCGUCUUAGGUUGCCAGUAGGUAAGGAUAAUCUCCAGAAUUAAUUGCAGACAUUGCCUGGAGCUGGGCACGAGAACUCCAUUCACAAGGUUAAACAGCUUAUGAAGAAACAAUUGACACUGCAGCUAAGAUCUGGAGUGGCUCAUGGACUGGUUCUCAUCUGGCUCUGCGGACAUUGGUCACAUGUACAUAUUGGUAAAAGAGCAAGUAGCAGCAUCAUAGAACUUAAUAGGCGCCAUGAUCGUUCGGCUACUGCUGAGAUUAGAAUGUUUCCUUGCCAGUUUCUCCCAGCAAUGGAGAAACUAUAGGGGUCAUAUAAAGUAAUAUUGCAUCUUUUUACAAGGCAUUCAAAAUUUGACACUGGCCUUUCUUUUCUAACAGUGACAAGUGUAUAGAUCCGGAAGACAGAAGCUAUCUCGGAGCAGGAAGACUCGAGAGAUGCAUAUGAAUGUAGCUUGACAGCUGAAUAUGACCGCAUCUGAUCC